UUUAUAAAUCAUGAAUUUCUCCUUGAUUUGAAAAAGACGAAUUUCCGGUGGGUGACAACGAAACAAGUGCAAAUUCAACAGGAAGAUGUCCAUUCAACACUUCUCAAGCCAAUGAACCCACUGGACGGGCUCUGUGUAUCGGCGAUAGUAGUAACCAGAGCCAAUGGCAACACGUGGAUAAUUGCGGACCAUUUACAAAUGUCACAGAUACUCUCACCAAAAUUGCACAGGUAAUCGUAAGUGAAGAAAACGCAGGUGAAGUGAGCCAGCAAGUAUCAUCUGUUACUUCCAACAUCGAAGAUAUCACAUCAGACGACAUCACGUUUGUGGCAGAGAUAACAUCACAAAUUGUGCAGCAAAAUCUU
Long non-coding RNA from Strongylocentrotus purpuratus (purple sea urchin), 365 nucleotides. RefSeq lists it as uncharacterized. The record is from RefSeq and is a predicted model, not a curated record. NCBI's taxonomy places the organism in Eukaryota, Metazoa, Echinodermata, Echinoidea, Camarodonta, Strongylocentrotidae. The transcript is spliced from 3 exons.